AUUUGUAUAGUAUAAUUAUAUUAUUUUUAACUUCCAAUUAAAAAAUCUUUUUCAAAAGUACAAAUA
This 66-nucleotide transfer RNA is filed under the name Cantharis pellucida. RNAcentral's name for it is "tRNA-Gly". The record is from RNAcentral. Lineage: Eukaryota; Metazoa; Arthropoda; Insecta; Coleoptera; Cantharidae.